Molecule: ribosomal RNA, 420 nt
Filed under: uncultured bacterium
Lineage: Bacteria
Description: bacterial SSU rRNA
Rfam family: Bacterial small subunit ribosomal RNA
Source: RNAcentral
UGGGGAAUAUUGGGCAAUGGGCGAAAGCCUGACCUAGCAACGCCGCGUGAGGGAAGAAGGGUUUCGGCUCGUAAACCUCUGUCCUAUGGGACGAAGGAAGUGACGGUACCAUAGGAGGAAGCCCCGGCUAACUACGUGCCAGCAGCCGCGGUAAUACGUAGGGGGCGAGCGUUGUCCGGAAUGAUUGGGGCGUAAAGGGGCGCGUAGGCGGCCCGUUAAGUCUGGAGUGAAAGUCCUGCUUUCAAGGUGGGAAUUGCUUUGGAUACUGAUGGGCUGGAGUGCAGGAGAGGAAAGCGGAAUUACCGGUGUAGCGGUGAAAUGCGUAGAGAUCGGUAGGAACACCAGUGGCGAAGGCGGCUUUCUGGACUGAAACUGACGCUGAGGCGCGAAAGCGUGGGGAGCAAACAGGAUUAGAUACCC